This 74-nucleotide transfer RNA is filed under the name Alphaproteobacteria bacterium. RNAcentral describes it as "tRNA-Gly". It matches the Rfam family "tRNA". Rfam says of the family: Transfer RNA (tRNA) molecules are approximately 80 nucleotides in length. Their secondary structure includes four short double-helical elements and three loops (D, anti-codon, and T loops). The record is from RNAcentral. Lineage: Bacteria; Pseudomonadati; Pseudomonadota; Alphaproteobacteria.
GCGGGUGUAGCUUAAUGGUAAAGCGUCGGCCUUCCAAGCCGAUGACGUGGGUCCGAUUCCCAUCACCCGCUCCA